Molecule: ribosomal RNA, 254 nt
Filed under: uncultured bacterium
Lineage: Bacteria
Description: partial 16S ribosomal RNA
Rfam family: Bacterial small subunit ribosomal RNA
Source: RNAcentral
UACGUAGGGGGCGAGCGUUGUCCGGAUUUAUUGGGCGUAAAGAGCUCGUAGGCGGUUUGGCAAGUCGGGUGUGAAAACUCCGGGCUCAACUCGGAGACGCCACUCGAUACUGCUAUGACUCGAGUCCGGAAGAGGAGUGUGGAAUUCCUGGUGUAGCGGUGAAAUGCGCAGAUAUCAGGAGGAACACCAAUGGCGAAGGCAGCACUCUGGGACGUGACUGACGCUGAGACGCGAAAGCGUGGGGAGCAAACAGG